This 253-nucleotide ribosomal RNA is filed under the name uncultured bacterium. RNAcentral's name for it is "partial 16S ribosomal RNA". It matches the Rfam family "Bacterial small subunit ribosomal RNA", at positions 524 to 776 of the family's 1533-position model. The record is from RNAcentral.
UACGUAGGGUGCAAGCGUUAAUCGGAAUUACUGGGCGUAAAGCGUGCGCAGGCGGCUAUGCAAGACAGAUGUGAAAUCCCCGGGCUCAACCUGGGAACUGCAUUUGUGACUGCAUGGCUAGAGUACGGCAGAGGGGGAUGGAAUUCCGCGUGUAGCGGUGAAAUGCGUAGAUAUGCGGAGGAACACCGAUGGCGAAGGCAAUCCCCUGGGCCUGUACUGACGCUCAUGCACGAAAGCGUGGGGAGCAAACAGG